RNAcentral lists this ribosomal RNA (649 nucleotides) under uncultured bacterium. RNAcentral describes it as "bacterial SSU rRNA". The stretch from base 1 to 544 matches the Rfam family "Bacterial small subunit ribosomal RNA", at positions 338 to 873 of the family's 1533-position model. The record is from RNAcentral.
CCUACGGGAUGCAGCAGUGGGGAAUAUUGGACAAUGGGCGAAAGCCUGAUCCAGCAAUUCCGCGUGUGUGAAGAAGGCCUUCGGGUUGUAAAGCACUUUAGGUUGGGAAGAAAAGCUUCGGUGAAUAUCCGGAGUGUUGACGGUACCAACAGAAUAAGCACCGGCUAACUCUGUGCCAGCAGCCGCGGUAAUACAGAGGGUGCAAGCGUUAAUCGGAUUUACUGGGCGUAAAGCGUGCGCAGGUGGUUUCGUAAGUCGGAUGUGAAAGCCCCGGGCUCAACCUGGGAACUGCGUUCGAUACUGCGAGACUAGAGUUUGGUAGAGGGUGGCGGAAUUCCCGGUGUAGCGGUGAAAUGCGUAGAUAUCGGGAGGAACAUCAAUGGCGAAGGCAGCCACCUGGGCCUGAACUGACACUGAGGCACGAAAGCGUGGGUAGCAAACAGGAUUUAGAUACCCUGGUAGUCCACGCCGUUAAACGAUGAGACUUGACGUUGGUUCGUUUACGAUCGGUGUCGUAGUCUACGACGAUAAGUUACGUUCCGUCCGUCGGGUAGGGUACGGGUCCGGCCGACGGUUAGGUAACGUACGAACGGAAAGUUAGUACGGCGUGAGACGUGCCGACGGACGACGACCGACGGGAGGUAGGAGG